UCGGCAAAUGUCCCAGCUGUUCCCCACCAUAGAGACACCAUUCAGGAGACCCAAGUGGCUCUCCGCUGAGAGUUCCUGUGGGAGAACUCAAUUCCUCUUAAAGUGUUAGUACAUCAUUUCACAGCACUAGACCAAGCUCCACCACAGAAGAGGUGGCCAGGGGCUGAGAGGCGGAGAGCUGAAGUUUCAUGAAAGACUUUGCUUUGGUGUGACUUACUAGGCCUCCCAGCCACUCAGGAUCUCAGCAAUCUGCAGAGAUCAUCUGCCAAGCAACAGGAGCAGGUCGGCAGAGGCAAACCUUCAAAUCCACUAUGGGAAGAAAAAAAAAAAAGGCACAUGAAUCCUCAUCAGAAAAGAAAAGUGACUUACCAUCUAAAAGAUCAAAUAAGGCUCUGGAUGAUUGCAGCAAUGCUGUAGAGAACCUUGACCGAGGAAGUGCUCCAUAGCCAAUCUCCAUCACAGAGAGGCUCCACUGCAGAGUCCCAGAAUUCUUAAACUACCAACCUUGAGAUGGCAUUUGUUUUCAUUUUUGUACUCAAUAGAGCAUAGCCUCACAUUCAUCCUUUCUCUUUUGGGAUGAGUGUGGAAUACAUAAGUUGUGAAACAUCUUCUCUUUCAUUCUAUUUGAUAAGCAUGUAUUGGGCACCUCUACGUGCCAGGCAUUCAAUAGGGAGAGGAGACCCAGAUGGGCAACAUUCAGCUUCGUGUGCAGGGCACUUUUAGUUGGUGCAAAUGAAAGAUAAGACCCCUGUAAAUAAAUAGAAAGCAGAUUUUAGCUGAUCUGGCUUUAAAUGAGUUUCGGGCAUUUGGUUUUGAUGAUUAAAAUCUAAUACAUCUCAC
Mastomys coucha (southern multimammate mouse) is the source of this 840-nucleotide long non-coding RNA. RefSeq lists it as uncharacterized. NCBI's taxonomy places the organism in Eukaryota, Metazoa, Chordata, Mammalia, Rodentia, Muridae. The record is from RefSeq and is a predicted model, not a curated record. The transcript has 3 exons.